GGCUGAAAUUCGCCUUCAUGAAGCUGGAAUUGCUAGUAAUGGCAGGUCAGCAUACUGCCGUGAAUACGUUCCCGGGCCUUGUACACACCGCCCGUCACACCAUGAGAGUUGGAAAUACCCGAAGCCUGUGAGCUAACUUAAAGAGGCAGCAGUCGAAGGUAGAAUCAAUGAUUGGGGUGAAGUCGUAACAAGGUACC
This 197-nucleotide ribosomal RNA is filed under the name uncultured bacterium. RNAcentral describes it as "partial 16S ribosomal RNA". It matches the Rfam family "Bacterial small subunit ribosomal RNA", at positions 1303 to 1500 of the family's 1533-position model. The record is from RNAcentral.